CUGGGGACAGAGAGGAGAAGGCGUGACACUCAGGGGUGCAGAGACAGGAGCGGGCGCCCCACGCCCCUACCCCAGCCUCUGGGGACUGAGUGCCGUUGGGUGGAGAGGUCGGAGCUGACUCUCUGGAGAAAUGGCCGAAGACGCCCCUUCCCAUCCCCAACCCACUCUCCCUUGGAGAAGAGAAGGGGCGUGUUUCCACCUCGCUGUAACCCAGCGCCAAACCCUUCCCCUCCCCGCAAGGCGCGUAACGGUUCCUGCAAUCUGGGGACAACGCUGCGGGCAUCGAGGCGGUGGCGCUUGAUUUCCUUUAAAGUACCUACCACGCCACCCGCUACCUGUAAUAAUCCAUCUGAAGAGGUCGCCGGGCAGCGCCUCGGCAGACAGACUGACCUGCGGGGAGGUGCGGUUUCCAGUGGCGCGGGACAGCCGGCUCCGAGAAGGAACUGGGACCUUUGCCUAGGGCAAGACGUCAACAGGAACCCGCAGGCCCGGCCUGGACACCUGCUGCCCUCACUGGAAGCUUUAACUCCCACUCGAGUCUCUUGGCGUCGUCAGUGCCAGGAGCGCUUGGAUUGGGAUGGGGACGGAGAAGGGUGCCUCGCUCGCCGAGCCCCGCUGCCCUUGGGGACCUGGCAAAGUCGAGGUUUCCUCACAGCGUUGAGAUUGAGACUGGGGGUCGGCAGCACUGAGAAGUGAAGGAAUAUUUGGGAGGAUCAGAAGCUUGGUCCUGAUUUUGCCAUCAACAGGAACUUGAUGACUUCAAGGGAGUCCCCAAACCCUGGGUUUCUGUUUUCUCAACUCUAACAUGAGGGGCUAGAUGCAUCUGGUUUAGUUAGUCUCCAUGAUGGUUUAGUUCGUCUCCAUGAUCCUGUGAAUUUCAGAUGUUGAAAAUCUUCGGAAAAGCCCUGAAAGAUGAACAGUGGUCUCAAAUAGUCAAGACCCCCUGCUGGGAGGAGCUUCUAUCCUGCUCUGUGGAAGAAAUGGGCAUGCCAGAUGCCUGGAAGAUCAGAGGCUCACAUUCCAGCUGUAGGUGGCCCACCAGGUGUCAACAACUGUAGAGUUCCAUCAAGAGUCAUCAUUUUACAGUUACAAGUCGGAGGGGCCUUCACAGAUCCGUCAGGCUCAACACUGCCUCCUUAGUGAGCCUGUGAACCACCCAAGACGGCUGGUCAUCAGUGUCAUCCUCUUCCUUUUCCGGACAACUAUCUUUAAAAGAAAAAAAAAGAGUGUCUUUGAAUGUAUCCAUUUUAUCCCCAAAUAAUCUUGUUUAAUAAAUUCCUUAUUAGGCCAAA
This 1292-nucleotide long non-coding RNA is filed under the name Homo sapiens (human). RNAcentral describes it as "HSALNT0301790". The record is from RNAcentral. Lineage: Eukaryota; Metazoa; Chordata; Mammalia; Primates; Hominidae.